CUGAUACAGGGAGGUAGUGACAAUAAAUAACAAUACCGGGCCUUUGGUCUGGUAAUUGGAAUGAGUACAACCUAAACACCUUAACGAGGAUCAAUUGGAGGGCAAGUCUGGUGCCAGCAGCCGCGGUAAUUCCAGCUCCAAUAGCGUAUAUUUAAGUUGCUGCAGUUAAAAAGCUCGUAGUUGGAUUUCGGGUGGGAAUGGCCGGUCCGCCGUUUCGGUGUGCACUUGCUACGCCCGCCUUGCUGCCGGGGACGUGCUCUUGAGUUCACGCUCGGGACACGGAGUCGGCGAGGUUACUUUGAGUAAAUUAGAGUGUUCAAAG
Molecule: ribosomal RNA, 322 nt
Filed under: uncultured chlorarachniophyte
Lineage: Eukaryota; Cercozoa; Chlorarachniophyceae
Description: SSU rRNA
Rfam family: Eukaryotic small subunit ribosomal RNA
Source: RNAcentral